UACGUAGGGUGCAAGCGUUGUCCGGAUUUAUUGGGUUUAAAGGGUGCGUAGGCGGCCCAUUAAGUCAGCGGUGAAAUCCCAGGGCUCAACCCUGGAACUGCCGUUGAUACUGGCGGGCUUGAGUUCGGUCGAGGCGGGCGGAACUGGUGGUGUAGCGGUGAAAUGCAUAGAUACCAUCCAGAACCCCGAUUGCGAAGGCAGCUGCCUAGACUGUAACUGACGCUGAGGCACGAAAGCGUGGGGAGCGAACAGG
This 253-nucleotide ribosomal RNA is filed under the name uncultured bacterium. RNAcentral describes it as "partial 16S ribosomal RNA". It matches the Rfam family "Bacterial small subunit ribosomal RNA", at positions 524 to 776 of the family's 1533-position model. The record is from RNAcentral.